UUAAAAUAAGUGUCUACGGCCGAAACGCGUAAAUAAUGUUUAUUUUAGAUUCGGAAAAGAAGACUGUAUGGUUUUUCAAUGAUGUUAUUAUAUUUUUGUUUCCGUGAACAACUUUUCCACCAGAAAUCUUGCUCCGAUUUACAAUGAUAGCAGUUGUUCUAAUAGGAAACCCGACUGGUGAGAUACUUUGGGAAGGUCGUUUUUUGAUUUUCCCAACAGAUGGGAAAAAACGGAGAGAAAAUUGGAGAAAACGUACGAAAUGCGUAGGGCAUUUUCAAACCGUAAAUAUGACGGCCUUUCAAAACGUGUACAACCCCACCAAACUCCGUUUAGGAUUUCGUUCGCGAACUCCGCUCAGAAUCGCAUUUCGUCGGCAGCGACGGUAUUGACGCUGGCCGCACUGCAGGUAUAAACCGAAUCGCCCGCCACAUCUUACCUUCGCGACUUCUCGUGACCCACG
Non-coding RNA from Cinara cedri, 460 nucleotides. The record is from the annotation of a GenBank genome assembly. Lineage: Eukaryota; Metazoa; Arthropoda; Insecta; Hemiptera; Aphididae.